CUUUUGGUUAGGAUUCUACUUGCAAGUAGUUCCUGAUACCAUGCCUUUAGUAUUGCUAGUAUAUGUCUUAUUAUUUAAGUAAUAUUUGUUAUCUGCAUUCAAACUUGUUAUGCUAUUAUAUAUCUACAGUGCCUAAAAGGAACAGAUGUUAUUUGUAUGUUGUUUUAAAAACUUGUUGUAGUGAUUCUUGCAAUAUUAGUGGAGCUAAUGAUCCUAGUGGUUUGAUCAUGUAGAUACAGUUGCUCUCGAAUAUAAUGAGUGGAAAGAUUAUCUUACAGUUCUCCCAUUUGUGGUAACUGUUGUAGCAUCUGUGUCUUUGAUUUCUAUAACUUCUAAGUUGAUCCACGCAACUUCAGGAUCCUCAGCCCACACGUGUGAUUCGACUAUGAUGUUUACAGUAGUUCCCUGGAUCGUUGAAGAAUCACAAAAAAGAAUGGCAAUGUAGAGAAGCUAAUGGAUUUUUGUUGUCUAGAGAGAAAAUGGCAGUGCUAGUAAAGAAUGAUGGAGUGAAGAUUUGCCGGAAAUAAAAAUUAGACAGAAUGUUGAAAAGAAUAAGAAAUCCCGGUGGUGGUAACUCAAAAGAAAAAAAGGCAGAGAUGCUGACUUGGCACCUUUUUUUUUGGCUCAUUCGACACAGGAUGCUAACUUGCCACCAAAAGAAGCAUGCCAGUUGUGUGUAGGCAACAAAGAGAAUUCAUGUGCAGUUGAUGCAAGAGAUAGUUUUUAUGUUAAUGCUUAUUGUUGCAGCCAUCUGAUGAGUGGACCUUUUGCUUUGCCAAUGUUGAAGGCCUUUGGGUUCCUAAUUAUGGUUGUGCAUUGCUAAUGCCAAGCAGUGGGGAUUACUAGCUGUCAUUGGAGUGGUUAUAAAAUUAUGAAAGUGUCUUAUUACUUAAAUAAUUUGACAUUAAGUUAUUCCUUUUUGGAUGGUUGGAAGUUAAAUGGAUGUAAAUUUCGAAAUGAUUGAUAAUAUAUGUAUUAUUUUGUUUAUAUA
This is a non-coding RNA of Camellia sinensis, 991 nucleotides long. NCBI's taxonomy places the organism in Eukaryota, Viridiplantae, Streptophyta, Magnoliopsida, Ericales, Theaceae. The record is from RefSeq and is a predicted model, not a curated record.